RNAcentral lists this ribosomal RNA (440 nucleotides) under uncultured bacterium. RNAcentral's name for it is "partial 16S ribosomal RNA". It matches the Rfam family "Bacterial small subunit ribosomal RNA", at positions 338 to 795 of the family's 1533-position model. The record is from RNAcentral.
CCUACGGGAGGCAGCAGUGGGGAAUAUUGCACAAUGGGGGAAACCCUGAUGCAGCGACGCCGCGUGAGGGAAGAAGUAAUUCGUUAUUUAAAGCUCUAUCAGCAGGGAAGAAAAUGACGGUACCUGAGUAGGAAGCCCCGGCUACCUACGUGCCACCAGCCGCGGUAAUACGUAGGGGGCAAGGGUUAUCCGGAUUUCCUGGGUGUAAAGGGAGCGUAGACGGCAGUGCAAGUCUGGAGUUAAAGGCGGGGGCCCAACCCCCGGAGUGCUCGGGAAACUGGACGGCUGGAGUGCAGGAGAGGUAAGUGGAAUUCCUAGUGUAGCGGUGAAAUGCGUAGAUAUUAGGAGGAACACCAGUGGCGAAGGCGGCUUACUGGACUGUAACUGACGUUGAGGCUCGAAAGCGUGGGGAGCAAACAGGAUUAGAUACCCUUGUAGUC